This 265-nucleotide ribosomal RNA is filed under the name uncultured bacterium. RNAcentral's name for it is "partial 16S ribosomal RNA". It matches the Rfam family "Bacterial small subunit ribosomal RNA", at positions 793 to 1055 of the family's 1533-position model. The record is from RNAcentral.
GUCCACGCCCUAAACGAUGUCAACUAGGUGUUGGGAGGGUAAAACCUUUUAGUACCGGAGCUAACGCGUGAAGUUGACCGCCUGGGGAGUACGGCCGCAAGGUUAAAACUCAAAGGAAUUGACGGGGACCCGCACAAGCGGUGGAUGAUGUGGAUUAAUUCGAUGCAACGCGAAAACCUUACCUACCCUUGACAUGUCCAGGAGCCCUUAGAGAUUUGGGUGUGCCCGAAAGGGAGCUGGAACACAGGUGCUGCAUGGCUGUCGU